CUUAUCAAGAGUGACGGAGGGAACAGGCCCUGUGAAGUCCAGCAACCUGCAUCAUGCAAGGUGCCAAAUCCUGCGGGAAACCGAAAGAUAAG
This 92-nucleotide non-coding RNA is filed under the name chicken gut metagenome. Its description in RNAcentral is "SAM riboswitch (S box leader)". It matches the Rfam family "SAM riboswitch aptamer (S box leader)". From Rfam's summary of the family: The SAM riboswitch is found upstream of a number of genes which code for proteins involved in methionine or cysteine biosynthesis in Gram-positive bacteria. The SAM riboswitch acts at the level of transcription termination control. The record is from RNAcentral.